Molecule: ribosomal RNA, 253 nt
Filed under: uncultured bacterium
Lineage: Bacteria
Description: partial 16S ribosomal RNA
Rfam family: Bacterial small subunit ribosomal RNA
Source: RNAcentral
UACGGAGGGUGCAAGCGUUAUCCGGAUUUAUUGGGUUUAAAGGGUGCGUAGGCGGGCCUGUAAGUCAGCGGUGAAAGUUCAUGGCUCAACCAUGGAAUUGCCGUUGAAACUGUAGGCCUUGAGUAUAGAUGAGGUGGGCGGAAUUCGUAGUGUAGCGGUGAAAUGCUUAGAUAUUACGAAGAACUCCAAUUGCGAAGGCAGCUCACUGGGCUAUAACUGACGCUGAGGCACGAAGGUGCGGGGAUCAAACAGG